GUCAGGGAAAAGAGAUUUCAAAAGUGCAGCAGCUCCCCAGAGCACAGCUGUUGACCCUGACCCAAGAGGAAGUUGUUUUGUGGCUGAGCUAAAGGUGCCCACUGAAGUGCCAGUGGGGCCUGGAAAUCUGCAUGCUAACCACACCAUUCUGGAAAGAAGUUCCCUCCAUGUUUCCAUUACUCAAUGGCUAGAAGUCCAGACAACUGAGUUUGGCCCUGUUGAUGUUUAUUCAGUCAGAGUAAUCUCUCCAGGCUCGGCAUGCAUCAUCUCUAAGACAUGGAUAAUACUACUAUCUACCCAACUGCCCUUAUGGGGUUAGGAGAGAGCAAGUAAGACAAAAAGAUGUUGUCUGAAGAUGGGAUGCUUGGGACUGCAGCAGCCACCUUGUAAUCAUGAGGAGAAAGCCAAGAGCUGCACAGAGAAACAGAUCCAAAAGCCUGACAUUACUGU
This 450-nucleotide long non-coding RNA is filed under the name Homo sapiens (human). RNAcentral's name for it is "HSALNT0036891". Lineage: Eukaryota; Metazoa; Chordata; Mammalia; Primates; Hominidae. The record is from RNAcentral.